UCCAUCAUCUUCUUCAUUUUGUGGGUGCCGAAUACACCAUAGCUCCCAAUACAAAACUUUACUCUUACAUUUUCUCUCAAAACUUUCUUCACGAAAAUUGUCGGGAAUAUUGCGUAGAUCGUGUAGGUGUAUUUGCAUGUUGAAUCAAGAUCCAGCGAGUUUUGUUGCGGAAACCGGCGAGCAAAGGUUUUGAUAUUUCAACGGGUGGUAUUUUUAUAUUUGGAAUAAGCGAGUACUGCGAGUAGUUUGACGUGUGGAUUUCCAAUUUCUUGUUCCGGAAAUCCCUGGCUUGUAUAAAGUGAGAAUGACUUUCCUUUAUGUGUCUAGAGUUGCAGUAGCUAGAAUAAUGAACGAUUAUACCCUAGUAGUCGUUGGACUUAUUUAUGCUUUAUAUUUUAUUAUAACGCUUAAACUCUGAUAAUAUGUAAUAUGGGAAUGCUGUGCGUAAGUCCGAGCGACUGCACUUGAAUAAAAUGCGAUGAACACAUCUGCAUAGUGAAAUGCAGUUAAGUCCAUAGAGAAAUGGCCUGCAUAGUGAAAUGCAGUAAUUACCGUAAUAAGAUGGUAUGCAUAAUGAGAUGCAUGAUAAACCAUAAUGAAAUGGUUUUGAAAACUAAAAUGCAAUAAUUAAAGAGAAAAUUAUGUGCAUGUUUUUAAAUGGUAAUUUUCAUCAGAACGUUUUAAACUGCAAUUUUAAAAUGUUCGAAAAUGAUUUGAAUUCCGCGAAAUUUUUUAAGUGAUUUUUAAUGUAUUUUAAGGCUUGCUACGGGUUUCGGAGCAACCACUCCCAUUCCCUAGCGCCGGUCUCGAUGCCGAGAAUCGGGUCGUGACA
Long non-coding RNA from Mercurialis annua (annual mercury), 832 nucleotides. RefSeq lists it as uncharacterized. The transcript has 3 exons. The record is from RefSeq and is a predicted model, not a curated record. NCBI's taxonomy places the organism in Eukaryota, Viridiplantae, Streptophyta, Magnoliopsida, Malpighiales, Euphorbiaceae.